Caenorhabditis elegans is the source of this 2969-nucleotide long non-coding RNA. Ensembl annotates it as ncRNA. Its record names the gene linc-167. NCBI's taxonomy places the organism in Eukaryota, Metazoa, Nematoda, Chromadorea, Rhabditida, Rhabditidae. The record is from Ensembl.
GGCCAUACAUCAUCAGAGAAACAAAAACAAACACAGUUUUAAGUGUUUCCGUCUUACAAAAAACUCCUCUAAAAACUUCCGGCAAAUUGGCAAAUCGGCAAUUUGCCAAAAAUCAAAAUUUCCGGCAAAUCGGCAACUCGGCAAACCGGCAAUUUGUCGAUUCACCGAAUUUGUGAAAAAAAAUCCAUUGCCGCAACAUCUGAUUCAACGCACGAAAAAUGAAAUAAAUGUCAUUUUCGCAGGGAUAAAAAUACGAAAAUAAAAGUGAUUUUUCGGUGUCUAAGAAGUGCGAUUUGAAGUUUGUUUUCGUUUUUUUCUCGAAAAAGUAUAUAAAUAAUAGUAUCGUUCCAUCCAACGGCGACGGGCGACAUUUGAAAUACGUGGGAGAACGGAAAUCUGAGAUGAGUCGAACGUACUUUUUGACAGAGAGAAGAAGCAUGAAAAUACUAUUGGGAAAAAAAAAUGUAAAUAAAAUAAAUAUGGGAGUGAAGGUCAAACAAAGAAAAGUGAGGAGGAGGAGGAAAUUAAAUGAAUUUUUGAUUUUUCAAAGAAAAUUAGGAAAUUAGGUUAGACACAACAAGAAUCAAAGACAAUUUCUGAAUUUUUGGUGAAUCAUUUUUUAAGGAAAAUAGGAAUUUUAUUAUAGGUGACCUAAUUAUGACAUCACUGGAUGGCCUGGAAAAGUUGGCCGCAAUAAACGUCGCCUAGAAACCUCUGUUGGCUCAUAUGGAAACAGGGGUGGGUGGCGAUUGCCGUUCGGCAAAUUCGGCAAUUGGGCAAAUUGCCAGUUUGCCGAUUUGCCGCUUUGCAGGAUAUCAAUUUGCCGGAAGUUUUUAGAGGGUUUUUCAUAAGACGGAAACACUUAAAACUGUGCCUUUUUGAAAUUUUUUUCCCGUUUUCAUAGAAUUGCCUUACUUUUCAAAAUAGAUGUAGGAAUAUUCAUAGGAUGCGUACGAUUUUGCCGAUUGAAAUUUAAAUUCUGAAAUUUCCAACAAAGAAAUUUGCCGGAAAAUUUUCAAUUCCGACAAUUUGCCGAUUUGCCGGAAAAUUUUCAAUUCCAGCAAUUCGCUUAUUUGCCGGAAAUUUUCAAUUCCAGCAAUUUGCCGGAAGUUUUAAAUUCUGGAAAUUUGCCGGUUUGCCGGAAAUUUUCAAUUCCGGCAAUUUUCCGGUUUGCCGGAAAUUUUCAAUUCCGGCAAUUUUCCGGUUUGCCGGAAAUUUUCAAUUCCGCAAUUUGCUGAUUUGCCGGAAAUUUUCAUUUUCGGAAAUGUUCAAUUCCGGCAAUUUGCCGAUUUGCCAGAAAUUUCAAUUCCGGCAUUUUGACAAUUUGCCGGAAAAAUAGUUUGCCUCCAGAAGAUCAGUGACGUCAUUUGCAGUUUUAUGAAUAGUUAUAGUAGAGAAUAUAUAUAUAUAUAUAUACAUUUUUAGCGUACAAACAGCCUAGAAUCCCCCGCUGUCAAACAUGAAAGAAUUAUGACGUCACUAACUAGCUUUGAAUGAAAAAACGUAACCUAAAAAUUUCCUGAGGAAUUUAUUUUUCGACUUACAAAAAAAUGAGGCCUAGAAACCUUUCACUAAAGUUUUCACUAAAAUUAAAUAAUUAAUGGCGUCACACGUGGCCUAGAAGCCUCAUCUGCAGUAUUUGAAAAACUAAACUACUUAUGUUAAAAAUGACAUGGCCUAGGAAUUAAUUGGAAAAUUCAAAAAAAGUGGCCUACAAAAAUUUAUCUGCCAAUUUUUCAAUAAUAUUUGUUUACCACAAUUUCUAGGCAAGUGCGGAACCUCUUUAAUAGUUCUUUAUGAAAAAAGAAAGAGUCCACAGUUAUUUCCAUCGACGGAAAAAACCGCUCCAAAAGACCUUUGACAAAAUAUGUCUCAUACAUUUACAAGUAGCAGAAGAAGAGAGGGGCCUGUGACGAUCGGUUUUUUAGAGAAAAAAAUGACAUGAAAAUAAAAUGUUCAUAUAUGAUGUUUAUCGAAAAACCAUAGUGACUAAAAGUACGCUGGGACCAGUUUUUUUUUUCCAGUGUAACUUUAUAGAAUGUACGAAACUUGAAAAUUGGAAAAAAGAGGAGAGGAACUUUGACCUGGAAAAUACAUUUUUAAAGAUUGGUAAAAGAAAAUGCCUACGUCUAUCUAGAUGCCUUCCUCUCUGGCUAUGCCUACCUACUUGCCUUCUUGUUGGCAUACACCUGCCUACGGGUCUUCAUGUCAGCCCAGGCCUGCCUACGUGCCUUCAAGUUCGCCUACCCACAUCUACGUGCCUUCAAGGUAACCUACAAGACAGGCGCCUAGGCAGGCAGGCAUGCAGGCAAGCAGGCAAGCGGUUCAUGAAAUAUCGUUCAUGAUUAUGAGAUAUCGUUCAUGAUUAUGAGAUUAUGAGCAAAACAAACCUGAAAUUCACAAAAUAAAAUUAAUAUUGAGUUUUUAACCAAAAUUUACAGAUUCACAUUUUCGAUGAAAAAAAAACACAUUUUUUAAAUGCUCAUAGAAGACGCAGCACAAGUCAUAAGGAGGUUCAAAUAGGGUUUCUUUAAAUUUUUGGCCGUCGAAAUUUUCAUUUAAUCUGUUUUUCAUUUAAGCUUUGCGAAAUUUUAGAAUAAUAAGAAGUAUUGAAAAUAUUUUGAAUUUAGGAUUAAGUCGUUUUUGUGCUCAUUGAGCAAAAUUUAACAUUUGAGAGUGGUGGCCGUGGAACGGAAAACUCUUCCACCACCUUGUUGAAUUUUACAACAAAAAAAAGGUUUUUUCCGACCGUAUAAUUUUUCUAAAACCUUUCCAGAUUCAAAAAUUCCAAAUAAAUUGAAAACAUUUUAAUUAUCAAUUUGGAAGUGCAUAUUUUACAAUGUGCAAAAAAAAUUUUCAAUUUUUAAUUUUUUUUUUGGAAAAAAUUAUAUUGAAAAUACCAAUAAAAACUAAUUAUUGUGCUGGUGAAUUCCAUGAAUUUUCAAAAAAAAAAAAACAUUGAAAAUUGA